RNAcentral lists this unclassified non-coding RNA (930 nucleotides) under uncultured fungus. RNAcentral's name for it is "sequence contains 18S rRNA gene, ITS1, 5.8S rRNA gene, ITS2, 28S rRNA gene". The stretch from base 282 to 930 matches the Rfam family "Eukaryotic large subunit ribosomal RNA", at positions 1 to 961 of the family's 3401-position model. The record is from RNAcentral. Lineage: Eukaryota; Fungi.
CGUUGGAUCAGUUUCGUAUAACCACAAACCUUUUUCUUAUCUAAGAGAAUACAAAUUAAUCGAACAAAAGCACAGACCUUAGACAACGGAUGUCUUGGCUCCCCAUACGAUGAAGAACAUGGCAUAAUGUGAUAAGUGGCUGGAGUUGCGCACAUCGUGACAAGUUCAAUCUUUGAAUGCACAUUGCGCUCGAUGUCUCUCGGGAUAUCGAGCAUGAUGCAUCCAGGAACCUAUUGAUUGGAAAUCUUCUUUAUAAGGAGAGAACAACAAUAAGAAAGACUGGGUUCUGGCUGUAUCAGGAUUACCCGCUGAACUGAAGCAUCUCAUUAAGCGGAGGAAAAGAAACUAACUAGGAUUCCUUCAGUAAAGGCGAUCGAAGAAGGAAAAGCUCGUCACCAAAGCUCUUUGGAGCGAUGUGGUGAGGAAAUCACUGGAUAAGCGAAAGGGUGUUGAAUCACACACGAUACAGAGUUAAAGUCUCGUUAGCAUAUCUAGAUUUGGUUUCCGGAAAAGAGUCGGGUAGCUUGAGAUUGCUGCCUCAACUGGGUGGUAUGACACAUCCAAAGCUAAAUAUCAUGGGGAGACCGAUAGCGUACAAGUAGUGUGAACGAAGGAUGAAAAGUACUCCAAGACGGAGUGUGAAAAGUCCCUGAACUUGUCUAGGGUAAGGCAUUUUAUAUGCGCCCGUCUUGAAACACGGAUUAGGGAGUUUAACGGAUGUGCGUUUUUCCUAAGAAAAGCGAAAGCGACUUCUAACGAAGCGUUAGAGCACAUGCGCUAGAACCCGAAUGGUGGUGAACUAUGCCUGCACAGGAUGAAGUCAGGGGAAACUCUGAUGGAGGUCCGUCGCGUUAUUGAUGUGCAAAUCAUUCGUUAGAUGUAGGUAUAGGUGCGAAAGACUCAUCGAACCACCUAAUAGCUGGUUUCCUC